This 254-nucleotide ribosomal RNA is filed under the name uncultured bacterium. RNAcentral describes it as "partial 16S ribosomal RNA". It matches the Rfam family "Bacterial small subunit ribosomal RNA", at positions 524 to 776 of the family's 1533-position model. The record is from RNAcentral.
UACGGAGGGUGCAAGCGUUGUCCGGAAUCACUGGGCGUAAAGGGCGCGUAGGCGGCGUUUUUAAGUCGGGGGUGAAAGCCUGUGGCUCAACCACAGAAUGGCCUUCGAUACUGGGACGCUUGAGUAUGGUAGAGGUUGGUGGAACUGCGAGUGUAGAGGUGAAAUUCGUAGAUAUUCGCAAGAACACCGGUGGCGAAGGCGGCCAACUGGACCAUUACUGACGCUGAGGCGCGAAAGCGUGGGGAGCAAACAGG